UACAGGGGUGGCAAGCGUUGUUCGGAAUUACUGGGCGUAAAGGGCGCGUAGGCGGUUCGAUAAGUCCCGUGUGAAAGCCCCCGGCUCAACUGGGGAACUGCACGGGAAACUGACGGACUUGAGUUCGGGAGAGGGAAGCGGAAUUCCGGGUGUAGCGGUGAGAUGCGUAGAUAUCCGGAGGAACACCGGUGGCGAAGGCGGCUUCCUGGACCGACACUGACGCUGAGGCGCGAAAGCGUGGGGAGCAAACAGG
RNAcentral lists this ribosomal RNA (253 nucleotides) under uncultured bacterium. Its description in RNAcentral is "partial 16S ribosomal RNA". It matches the Rfam family "Bacterial small subunit ribosomal RNA", at positions 524 to 776 of the family's 1533-position model. The record is from RNAcentral.